Molecule: ribosomal RNA, 301 nt
Filed under: uncultured bacterium
Lineage: Bacteria
Description: partial 16S ribosomal RNA
Rfam family: Bacterial small subunit ribosomal RNA
Source: RNAcentral
CAGCCGCCGCGGUAAUACGGAGGAUCCAAGCGUUAUCCGGAAUCAUUGGGUUUAAAGGGUCCGUAGGCGGUCUUGUAAGUCAGUGGUGAAAGCCCAUCGCUCAACGGUGGAACGGCCAUUGAUACUGCAGGACUUGAAUUAUUGGGAAGUAACUAGAAUAUGUAGUGUAGCGGUGAAAUGCUUAGAGAUUACAUGGAAUACCAAUUGCGAAGGCAGGUCACUAAGAUUUAACUGACGCUGAUGGACGAAAGCGUGGGGAGCGAACAGGAUUAGAUACCCGUGUAGUCCCUGUCUCUUAUAC